UACGUAGGGUGCGAGCGUUAAUCGGAAUUACUGGGCGUAAAGGGUGCGCAGGCGGUUUUGUAAGCCAGAUGUGAAAGCCCCGGGCUUAACCUGGGAAUGGCAUUUGGGACUGCAAGGCUAGAGUGUGGCAGAGGAGACUGGAAUUCCUGGUGUAGCAGUGAAAUGCGUAGAGAUGCGGAGGAACACCGAUGGCGAAGGCAGCCCCCUGGGCCAACACUGACGCUCAGGCACGAAAGCGUGGGGAGCAAACAGG
Molecule: ribosomal RNA, 253 nt
Filed under: uncultured bacterium
Lineage: Bacteria
Description: partial 16S ribosomal RNA
Rfam family: Bacterial small subunit ribosomal RNA
Source: RNAcentral